UCACAAACUCAAACUAUCAAAAUAGUUGAUUCUACUAAUGGCCUCAUGUGCCUGUCUUUAUUACCCCUACAAGUUCUAUAUCUGCAAUCCUAUUACAAGAGAGAUACUGCAGCUUCCCAGAGCACCUGGUUUUGGUCCAAAAUUUUUUAUAGAGAUUUUUGGACAUACCCCCCCCAAUUUGAAAGUCGAAAUUUGAGAUACCCCCAUUUGAAAAACAAUUUGAGAUACCCCCAAUUCAAGACAGAAGAGCUUUACAGCCGUAGGUGAGUUUUGUGAUGGAUUAUGAUGGACGGCUAAGAUAACACCACAUCUUGAAUUGGGGGUAUCUCAAAUUUUUUUUU
This 341-nucleotide long non-coding RNA is filed under the name Aquilegia coerulea. RNAcentral's name for it is "long non-coding RNA (ACOE_LNC000743)". The record is from RNAcentral. Lineage: Eukaryota; Viridiplantae; Streptophyta; Magnoliopsida; Ranunculales; Ranunculaceae.